AUGAACGCUGACAGAAUGCUUAACACAUGCAAGUCGAUUCGAUUUACUUUCGGGUAUUGAGGAUUUUUUACGGGCGAGUAACGCGUAAGGAACUUGCCUCUUGGACUGGGACAACUGUUGGAAACGACAGCUAAUACCGGAUAUUAUGAGAUUCUCGCAUGGGAAACUUAUGAAAGCUAUAUGCGCCAAGAGAGAGCCUUGCGUUCCAUUAGCUAGUUGGUGGGGUAAUGGCCCACCAAGGCGACGAUGGAUAGCCGGCCUGAGAGGGUGAACGGCCACAAGGGGACUGAGACACGGCCCUUACUCCUACGGGAGGCAGCAGUGGGGAAUAUUGGACAAUGGGCCACAACCCUGAUCCAGCAAUUCAGUGUGCACGAUGAAGGUUUUCGGAUCGUAAAGUGCUUUCAGUUGGGAAGAAGAAAGUGACGGUACCAACAGAAGAAGGGACGGCUAAAUACGUGCCAGCAGCCGCGGUAAUACGUAUGUCGCAAGCGUUAUCCGGAUCUAUUGGGCGUAAAGCGCGUCUAGGCGGAAAAAUAAGUCUGAUGUUAAAAUGCGGGGCUCAACUCCGUAUUGCGUUGGAAACUGUUUUUCUAGAGUACUGGAGAGGUGGGCGGAACUACAAGUGUAGAGGUGAAAUUCGUAGAUAUUUGUAGGAAUGCCGAUGGAGAAGUCAGCUCACUGGACAGAUACUGACGCUAAAGCGCGAAAGCGUGGGGAGCAAACAGGAUUAGAUACCCUGGUAGUCCACGCCGUAA
Molecule: ribosomal RNA, 758 nt
Filed under: uncultured bacterium
Lineage: Bacteria
Description: bacterial SSU rRNA
Rfam family: Bacterial small subunit ribosomal RNA
Source: RNAcentral